This 258-nucleotide long non-coding RNA is filed under the name Elaeis guineensis (African oil palm). RNAcentral's name for it is "long non-coding RNA (EGUI_LNC028141)". Lineage: Eukaryota; Viridiplantae; Streptophyta; Magnoliopsida; Arecales; Arecaceae. The record is from RNAcentral.
CGGCGAGGAGCGCUUCAUACUCGGCUUGGUUAUUGGAGGCUUUGAAGUCGAAUCGUAGGGCGUACUCGGUGACUACCCCAUCCGAAUUGGUGAGCAGGAAUCUAGCCCCGCUCCCUUGAGCGUUGGAAGCUCCGUCGAUGUGCAGCACCCAGGUGGAGAUCGGGUCAGGCUCGGAGACCACGUCUCGUUCGGGGUCCAUGUCUUCCGACCCCUGAUCGGCCGUCGGGCAUUCUGCGAUGAAGUCGGCCAGGACCUGGG